This 797-nucleotide ribosomal RNA is filed under the name Staphylococcus sp. Hn33Ya. RNAcentral's name for it is "bacterial SSU rRNA". It matches the Rfam family "Bacterial small subunit ribosomal RNA", at positions 88 to 871 of the family's 1533-position model. The record is from RNAcentral. Lineage: Bacteria; Bacillati; Bacillota; Bacilli; Caryophanales; Staphylococcaceae.
ACGUUAGCGUGCGGAGGGGUGAGUAACACGUGGAUAACCUACCUAUAAGACUGGGAUAACUUCGGGAAACCGGAGCUAAUACCGGAUAACAUAUUGAACCGCAUGGUUCAAUAGUGAAAGGCGGCUUUGCUGUCACUUAUAGAUGGAUCCGCGCCGUAUUAGCUAGUUGGUAAGGUAACGGCUUACCAAGGCAACGAUACGUAGCCGACCUGAGAGGGUGAUCGGCCACACUGGAACUGAGACACGGUCCAGACUCCUACGGGAGGCAGCAGUAGGGAAUCUUCCGCAAUGGGCGAAAGCCUGACGGAGCAACGCCGCGUGAGUGAUGAAGGUCUUCGGAUCGUAAAACUCUGUUAUCAGGGAAGAACAAAUGUGUAAGUAACUGUGCACAUCUUGACGGUACCUGAUCAGAAAGCCACGGCUAACUACGUGCCAGCAGCCGCGGUAAUACGUAGGUGGCAAGCGUUAUCCGGAAUUAUUGGGCGUAAAGCGCGCGUAGGCGGUUUUUUAAGUCUGAUGUGAAAGCCCACGGCUCAACCGUGGAGGGUCAUUGGAAACUGGAAAACUUGAGUGCAGAAGAGGAAAGUGGAAUUCCAUGUGUAGCGGUGAAAUGCGCAGAGAUAUGGAGGAACACCAGUGGCGAAGGCGACUUUCUGGUCUGUAACUGACGCUGAUGUGCGAAAGCGUGGGGAUCAAACAGGAUUAGAUACCCUGGUAGUCCACGCCGUAAACGAUGAGUGCUAAGUGUUAGGGGGUUUCCGCCCCUUAGUGCUGCAGCUAACGCAUUAAGCACUCCG